Molecule: ribosomal RNA, 484 nt
Filed under: uncultured bacterium
Lineage: Bacteria
Description: bacterial SSU rRNA
Rfam family: Bacterial small subunit ribosomal RNA
Source: RNAcentral
GACGAACGCUGGCGGCGUGCUUAACACAUGCAAGUCGAACGAUGAACCUCUUUCGGGAGGGGAUUAGUGGCGAACGGGUGAGUAACACGUGGGCAAUCUGCCCUGCACUCUGGGACAAGCCCUGGAAACGGGGUCUAAUACCGGAUAUUGACCUGCCAUCGCAUGGUGGUGGGUGGAAAGCUCCGGCGGUGCAGGAUGAGCCCGCGGCCUAUCAGCUUGUUGGUGGGGUGAUGGCCUACCAAGGCGACGACGGGUAGCCGGCCUGAGAGGGCGACCGGCCACACUGGGACUGAGACACGGCCCAGACUCCUACGGGAGGCAGCAGUGGGGAAUAUUGCACAAUGGGCGAAAGCCUGAUGCAGCGACGCCGCGUGAGGGAUGACGGCCUUCGGGUUGUAAACCUCUUUCAGCAGGGAAGAAGCGAAAGUGACGGUACCUGCAGAAGAAGCACCGGCUAACUACGUGCCAGCAGCCGCCGUAACAC